UACGUAGGGGGCGAGCGUUGCCCGGAUUCACUGGGCGUAAAGCGCGUGUAGGCGGUUCGUUAAGUCGGAUGUGAAAUCCCACGGCUCAACUGUGGAAUUGCAUCCGAUACUGGCGAACUUGAGGACGGUAGAGGUCGGUGGAAUUCCCGGUGUACCGGUGAAAUGGGCAGAUAUCGGGAGGAACACCAAUGGCGAAGGCAGCUCGCUGGGACGUUACUGACGCUGAGACGCGAAAGCGUGGGGAGCAAACAGG
This 253-nucleotide ribosomal RNA is filed under the name uncultured bacterium. RNAcentral describes it as "partial 16S ribosomal RNA". It matches the Rfam family "Bacterial small subunit ribosomal RNA", at positions 524 to 776 of the family's 1533-position model. The record is from RNAcentral.